RNAcentral lists this ribosomal RNA (267 nucleotides) under uncultured bacterium. RNAcentral's name for it is "partial 16S ribosomal RNA". It matches the Rfam family "Bacterial small subunit ribosomal RNA", at positions 793 to 1055 of the family's 1533-position model. The record is from RNAcentral.
GUCCACGCCCUAAACGUUGCGAACUAGGUGUUGGUCGGAUUGACCCGAUCAGUGCCGCAGCUAACGCAUUAAGUUCGCCGCCUGGGGACUACGGCCGCAAGGUUAAAACUCAAAGGAAUAGGCGGGGGCCCGCACAAGCAGCGGAGCGUGUGGUUUAAUUCGAGGCAACGCGAAGAACCUUACCUGGGUUUGACAUGCACAGGAAAUGCUCGUGAAAGCGAGCACCUCCCGCAAGGGAUCUGUGCACAGGUGGUGCAUGGCUGUCGU